This 376-nucleotide unclassified non-coding RNA is filed under the name uncultured bacterium. RNAcentral's name for it is "contains 16S-23S intergenic spacer region". The record is from RNAcentral.
UCCGAGUUGACCCCGGCAGUCUCCCACGAGUCCCCGGCAUAACCCGCUGGCAACAUGGGAUAAGGGUUGCGCUCGUUGCGGGACUUAACCCAACAUCUCACGACACGAGCUGACGACAGCCAUGCACCACCUAUCGCAGGCCCUUUCGGACACUACAUCUCUGCAGCUUUUCCUGCGUAGUUCAACCCAGGUAAGGUUCUUCGCGUUGCAUCGAAUUAAACAACACGCUCCACCGCUUGUGCGGGUCCCCGUCAAUUCCUUUAUGUUUUAGUCUUGCGUCCGUACUCCCCAGGCGGGAUGCUUAACGCGUUAGCUUCGCUACUGAGGGGGUCGAUACCUCCAGCAGCUAGCAUCCAUCGUUUACGGCGUGGACUAC